AAGGUUGAUCUAUUUCUAAAAUAUCAUUUGAAUCCUCUGCAUCGUGAAAAAGAUCGUCAUCGUGAAGCGAAAAAUAAUCAUCAUAGUCUUCUUCCAAUCGUUUCUUCACGUUUCCAAGGAUCAUCACUUCGGAAGUUUUAUCUUCGACCAAAUAAUUGUUCGAUUUCCAUGACACGUUUGAAGUUUCUGGUGAAUUUACAUUGGAUUCAACGGGAACAGAAUUUUCAAGCGUAAUUCCUUCUUCAUCUUCUACACGGCUUUAUCAUUGAGAGGAGACGAAGAAUGCGAUGGAAAGAUGUUCAUAUUAUCAAGUUAAAUUCAAGAAAUAUUAAUUCUGGAAUAUGGAGUAUCCGAAGAAGGAAUGAAAAGGAGGCUGAUUGCAAAGGCAAGAUACGGAAAUGUGGAGGAGGGAAAUUGUUGUUGGUUGGAAAAAGAAAAUUUAUUGUAUGUAACUUAAAGACACGCAUUUUAAGACACUCGUUAAAAAACUGCCAUAAAUUAGAUUCUAGAGUAGUAAGCUAGAAAUAAAGGGUAAAAAUAUAGACAGCGAACUAAUUGUAAGCCAAGGAUAGAUAUGUGAUAAUAUGUAAAUUAAGUAGGAAAAGGUAUAUAGAUUAAGAGAAAUAAAGAUAUACAUGUCUAAUUCGUAGAUUAGAUAUAAGAGGGGACGUGUGUGAUGGUGUAAGCGUUGUAUGGGAAUAAGUGACAGUUAGAUAUAUGUAAGCCAA
RNAcentral lists this unclassified non-coding RNA (728 nucleotides) under Bombus terrestris (buff-tailed bumblebee). RNAcentral's name for it is "misc RNA ENSBTSG00005026229.1". Lineage: Eukaryota; Metazoa; Arthropoda; Insecta; Hymenoptera; Apidae. The record is from RNAcentral.